This 30-nucleotide small RNA is filed under the name Bombyx mori (domestic silkworm). RNAcentral's name for it is "ovarian small RNA-5923". The record is from RNAcentral. Lineage: Eukaryota; Metazoa; Arthropoda; Insecta; Lepidoptera; Bombycidae.
UACAAUGUUGUAUACAGCAUUUGAGGAUCC